Molecule: ribosomal RNA, 488 nt
Filed under: uncultured bacterium
Lineage: Bacteria
Description: bacterial SSU rRNA
Rfam family: Bacterial small subunit ribosomal RNA
Source: RNAcentral
GAUGAACGCUAGCUACAGGCUUAACACAUGCAAGUCGAGGGGCAGCAUGAACUUAGCUUGCUAAGUUUGAUGGCGACCGGCGCACGGGUGAGUAACACGUAUCCAACCUGCCGAUGACUCGGGGAUAGCCUUUCGAAAGAAAGAUUAAUACCCGAUGGCAUAGUUCUUCCGCAUGGUAGAACUAUUAAAGGAUUUCGGUCAUCGAUGGGGAUGCGUUCCAUUAGGUUGUUGGCGGGGUAACGGCCCACCAAGCCUUCGAUGGAUAGGGGUUCUGAGAGGAAGGUCCCCCACAUUGGAACUGAGACACGGUCCAAACUCCUACGGGAGGCAGCAGUGAGGAAUAUUGGUCAAUGGGCGAGAGCCUGAACCAGCCAAGUAGCGUGAAGGAUGACUGCCCUAUGGGUUGUAAACUUCUUUAUAAAGGAAUAAAGUCGGGUAUGGAUACCCGUUUGCAUGUACUUUAUGAAUAAGGAUCGGCUAACUCCGUG